GACGAACGCUGGCGGCGUGCUUAACACAUGCAAGUCGGGCGGAAAGGCCCUUCGGGGUACUCGAGCGGCGAACGGGUGAGUAACACGUGAGUAACCUGCCCUUGGCUCUGGGAUAAGCCCGGGAAACUGGGUCUAAUACCGGAUAUGACCAUCAGAUGCAUGUCUUGGUGGUGGAAAGAUUUUUUCGGCUGGGGAUGGGCUCGCGGUCUAUCAGCUUGUUGGUGGGGUGAUGGCCACUAAGGCGACGACGGGUAGCCGGCCUGAGAGGGUGACCGGCCACACUGGGACUGAGACACGGCCCAGACUCCUACGGGAGGCAGCAGUGGGGAAUAUUGGACAAUGGGCGCAAGCCUGAUCCAGCAAUGCCGCGUGGGUGAAGAAGGUCUUCGGAUUGUAAAGCCCUUUCGAC
Molecule: ribosomal RNA, 409 nt
Filed under: uncultured bacterium
Lineage: Bacteria
Description: bacterial SSU rRNA
Rfam family: Bacterial small subunit ribosomal RNA
Source: RNAcentral